Vitis vinifera (wine grape) is the source of this 587-nucleotide long non-coding RNA. RefSeq lists it as uncharacterized. The record is from RefSeq and is a predicted model, not a curated record. The transcript is spliced from 2 exons. NCBI's taxonomy places the organism in Eukaryota, Viridiplantae, Streptophyta, Magnoliopsida, Vitales, Vitaceae.
CUAAUAAUGGGCACAAAUGAUAUAAAUGUUACAAAAUUAAGCUCAAAGCUUGCAAAUUCAUGGCUGAUCUUGUUUGAAACUGAAAUACUGGGUUGGGAGUGUCUCGAAUCCUGAGUUUCUUAUACUUCUGAUGACAUUUGGAACUGCCCAAUAACAAUCGGCUACUACAAAUGAGCAUAGUUGUCUUCACAUGGCUUGUGACUUUCUUGGUUCCUGGUGAGACAGGAGGAUCAACCCUUCUUGACCGACAAAGAGGUCCCCCGCGUGAACCCAGGUCCAUUCUCUAAUGAUACGCAAUAUAUGAUGAUACCCAAUUCAAUUUUCUCAUUUUUCUGGCUUCUUUGAACACCCCAUUUGGAUUUGGAUUUUAUGCAUGCAUGCAUGCUACAUGUUUGUUAUAAUUACAUGCUCAUAUUUUGCAGAUGUCACCUCUGCAUUUUUAUUUUAUUUUUGUUUUAUGCUUAUGUUUGUUAAAUAAAUGACAUAAGGUAAUUAGUAUGUGAUAGAAAGCAGGUCUGGAACCAGGCCCCCCUCCUUCAACCUCAAUAAGAGAUCUUUGAAUUUGUUGGACUUGGCUCCACCCUAAA